UUUGCCAUCAGAAGAAACUUAUCUGGUGGUAAUGAACGUGGGUUCGGAGGAUGAGUUUGUCAACUUGAGUGAUUGGCCAAUUGCGGUCAAAGAAGAAACAUGGCUGGUACACACGCCAAGUCUCAAUUCACAAUUCUCAAUAGGACAUUUACUAAAGACAAGUGGAUUUAUGAUGAGACCUAAAUCGGCCAUGGUUUUGUGUAACAAAAAACAUUCAUUGGUUUUGUCGUCGACUUUAUCAUCAACCUCUUCGAUAUCCUCGUCUUCGUUGGUGUUUCCGGUAGCAAUGUUCGUGAUUGCCUUGGGUUACAGUUAUAUGUUUUCUAAGCAGUAGUUGUCAUUUGUGUAUGAAAAUCAAUUAUUUUUGAGAAUGUUAAUUGAUUCAAAAAAACGCUAUUGCAAUGAGUUUUGUUGCUUCAUUCUAUUGGGCUUCUUCUUUAGUGGUUGCAUGCAGAUAACAGUCUUUUGUUUUUAAUACUAUCAAAAAUAAAAACAUUAUCUUGUAAAAUGUACCUCAAUAUAUUGAGGUAUCUCCUGACCCUUAAACAAAAUUAUAAAAUUUUGUUUUUUUCAGACUGCAAUAUAAUUCUUCUUCUUGGAAAUAUUAUUUUAAAUAUUUAAGAAUUUAUCAACAUGAAAUAGUAUGUAGGUAUAGCAUUACAAUGGCUAUCUAAUAAUUUUAAAAUAAACAAUUAAACA
Molecule: RNA transcript, 699 nt
Organism: Melanaphis sacchari
Lineage: Eukaryota; Metazoa; Arthropoda; Insecta; Hemiptera; Aphididae
Gene name: maltase 2-like
Source: RefSeq, a predicted model, not a curated record